GCUUAACACAUGCAAGUCGAGCGGUAGCACAGGAGAGCUUGCUCCCUGGGUGACGAGCGGCGGACGGGUGAGUAAUGUCUGGGAAACUGCCUGAUGGAGGGGGAUAACUACUGGAAACGGUAGCUAAUACCGCAUAACGUCGCAAGACCAAAGAGGGGGACCUUCGGGCCUCUUGCCAUCAGAUGUGCCCAGAUGGGAUUAGCUAGUAGGUGGGGUAAUGGCUCACCUAGGCGACGAUCCCUAGCUGGUCUGAGAGGAUGACCAGCCACACUGGAACUGAGACACGGUCCAGACUCCUACGGGAGGCAGCGGUGGGGAAUAUUGCACAAUGGGCGCAAGCCUGAUGCAGCCAUGCCGCGUGUGUGAAGAAGGCCUUCGGGUUGUAAAGCACUUUCAGCGAGGAGGAAGGUGGUGAACUUAAUACGUUCAUCAAUUGACGUUACUCGCAGAAGAAGCACCGGCUAACUCCGUGCCAGCAGCCGCGGUAAUACGGAGGGUGCAAGCGUUAAUCGGAAUUACUGGGCGUAAAGCGCACGCAGGCGGUCUGUCAAGUCGGAUGUGAAAUCCCCGGGCUCAACCUGGGAACUGCAUUCGAAACUGGCAGGCUAGAGUCUUGUAGAGGGGGGUAGAAUUCCAGGUGUAGCGGUGAAAUGCGUAGAGAUCUGGAGGAAUACCGGUGGCGAAGGCGGCCCCCUGGACAAAGACUGACGCUCAGGUGCGAAAG
RNAcentral lists this ribosomal RNA (724 nucleotides) under uncultured Enterobacterales bacterium. RNAcentral's name for it is "bacterial SSU rRNA". It matches the Rfam family "Bacterial small subunit ribosomal RNA", at positions 46 to 759 of the family's 1533-position model. The record is from RNAcentral. Lineage: Bacteria; Pseudomonadati; Pseudomonadota; Gammaproteobacteria; Enterobacterales.